UCGAGAAUCUUCCGCAAUGGACGAAAGUCUGACGGAGCGACACCGCGUGAUUGAUGAAGCUUUUCGGAGUGUAAAGAUCUUUUAUGAGGGAAGAAGUUUAUUGACGGUACCUCAUGAAUAAGGGGCUCCUAAUCUCGUGCCAGCAGGAGCGGUAAUACGAGAGCCCCGAGCGUUAUCCGGAAUUAUUGGGCGUAAAGGGUGCGUAGGUGGUUGUGUUAGUCGUUUGUUAAAUCCCAGAGCUUAACUUUGGAAUCGCGGACGAAACGGCACAACUAGAGAGUGUGAGGGGUAUAGGGAACUCAUGGUGUAGGGGUGAAAUCCGUUGAUAUCAUGGGGAACACCAAAAGCGAAGGCACUAUACUGGCACAUGUCUGACACUCAAGCACGAAAGCGUGGGUAGCGAAUGGG
Molecule: ribosomal RNA, 408 nt
Filed under: uncultured bacterium
Lineage: Bacteria
Description: bacterial SSU rRNA
Rfam family: Bacterial small subunit ribosomal RNA
Source: RNAcentral